UCUUGGUCAUUUAGAGGAAGUAAAAGUCGUAACAAGGUCUCCGUUGGUGAACCAGCGGAGGGAUCAUUACAGAGUUGCAAAACUCCCUAAACCAUUGUGAACGUUACCUUUAUCGUUGCUUCGGCGGGUGGCGCCCAGCGCCCCCAAGGCCCCCUCGCGGGGCGCCCGCCGGAGGAAACCUAACUCUUGACAACUGUAUGGCCUCUCUGAGUAACUAUACUUAAUAAGUUAAAACUUUCAACAACGGAUCUCUUGGUUCUGGCAUCGAUGAAGAACGCAGCGAAAUGCGAUAAGUAAUGUGAAUUGCAGAAUUCAGUGAAUCAUCGAAUCUUUGAACGCACAUUGCGCCCGCCAGUAUUCUGGCGGGCAUGCCUGUUCGAGCGUCAUUUCAACCAUCAAGCCCCAGGCUUGUGUUGGGGACCUGCGGCUGCCGCAGGCCCUGAAAAACAGUGGCGGGCUCGCUAGUCACACCGAGCGUAGUAGCAUACACAUCGCUUAGGACGUGCAGCGGGUUCCGGCCGUUAAACCCCCCACUAUAUCAAGGUUGACCUCGGAUCAGGUAGGAAGACCCGCUGAACUUAAGCAUAUCAAUAAGCGGAGGA
This 602-nucleotide ribosomal RNA is filed under the name fungal sp. MG216C1R6x. Its description in RNAcentral is "eukaryotic LSU rRNA". The stretch from base 233 to 386 matches the Rfam family "5.8S ribosomal RNA". The record is from RNAcentral. Lineage: Eukaryota; Fungi.